AUGGAUGGGAUUAGAUUGUGCAGGAAUGCACCGUCCAUUUCACAACUUUUAUUUGCUGAUGAUUCUUUAAAACUCACUAAAGCAAAUGUGUUAAAUGCAACUUCCUUACAACAAACACUAGAUACCUACUGUCAGAGUUCAGGACAGAUGGUGAGUUUGGCUAAGUCAAGCAUAUUCUUUAGUCCUAAUACUACUGUGGUCUCAAGAGCAGAGAUCUGUCAAAUUUUGCAUAUUGAUACUGAAGCACUUUCAGACAAGUACCUUGGCCUCCCAGCUUUAGUGGGAGAUGACAGAAGUGAUUGCUUCACGCAUUUUGUAGAGAGAAUCAAAAUCAGGUUAAUGGGUUGGAUGGAAAAAAUCCUUUCUAUUGGAGGAAAGGUGAUCUUAUUGAAAGCAGUGGCCCAAGCCAUACCUGUUUAUGCCAUGUCUGUUUUUAGUUUACCUAGAGGUAUUUGCAAAGAUAUCACAUAUAUUAUUGCACAAUUUUGGUGGCGCGAUGAUGCAAAUAACAAAAGAAUACAUUGGAUGGCUUGGUAG
RNAcentral lists this ribosomal RNA (537 nucleotides) under Triticum aestivum (bread wheat). Its description in RNAcentral is "partial small subunit ribosomal RNA". The record is from RNAcentral. Lineage: Eukaryota; Viridiplantae; Streptophyta; Magnoliopsida; Poales; Poaceae.